UGCAGAUGUCAUGGGAACUGAGAUUGCUAAGAACUUUCCUUACACUAGAUGACAAGUUGUCUUUUGCAGGAGCCUCUGCUGGGAUACAAGAGAAGCCCUUCAGCAUCCCCUUCAUCCAAAGCCAGAGAUCUCUCCCUUAUUGAUUGAACAUCCUUCAGUUCUUUCCCUGUGUAGAACUGAAUGUCUAUCUCCUACUGAAAUUUCAUGUACACAAGGUCAGAAGAGGCUCCUUAAAGCUGAGAGCAAUGUAGCACCAUAAAUUCCAGGACAUGAAACAGGCCCUUUUGAGCUACAUGAAAGGUUAUCCAAGGAGAAUAAGGUCUGAAAUAGCCACAGAAGCAGUCUGUCACACGAUCCAUUCAACUCCCAGAAGAUCUGACAGCUCAGACAUCCUGCUCCUCCUGCAUGAAAGGCAAAGUACCUCUACUCACCAUGGCAUUGCUGAUGGUCUACCUCAUGGUUCCAUAUAUCUUAAUUAGAGGAGAACCCUGGAAAAAACUCAUAAUCUACCUCUCACUGGUGCUCCUGAUUGCUAGGCUUGCCCAAAGUUGCUAAUAGCUUGUCUGCAACAGGGCUUCAGGACAGUAGCAGCUCCUCUACUAGAUGAGCAGAGAUCAAAUGACCAAGGCAGCACAGGGCUUCACAGCUCUGGAUUCUACCCUAGGGAGAGACAGGGCUCUAGUCUGGGAAAUAUGUAUUUUAGUAGAAACUAUUCCAGUCUCUCA
This is a long non-coding RNA of Peromyscus eremicus (cactus mouse), 725 nucleotides long. RefSeq lists it as uncharacterized. The transcript is spliced from 4 exons. The record is from RefSeq and is a predicted model, not a curated record. NCBI's taxonomy places the organism in Eukaryota, Metazoa, Chordata, Mammalia, Rodentia, Cricetidae.